Small nuclear RNA from Sarcophilus harrisii (Tasmanian devil), 103 nucleotides. The record is from Ensembl. Lineage: Eukaryota; Metazoa; Chordata; Mammalia; Dasyuromorphia; Dasyuridae.
AUGGUCACUGUGGCAGCAUGUAUACGAAAAGUGAACAAUACAGAGAUUAGCAUGGCCUCUGUGUAAGGAUGGCAUUCAAAUUCAUGAAGUAUUCUCUAUAUUU